UGGGCAUGUAACAAAUGCAAUGCACUGAUUAAAAUGAAAAGGAGACAGCACUGCAACUGACCAUGGGUUUUCAGGUCACCAAACUGGCUGCUAAUUUACUACUAGCUGUACAGCAGCUUCUCUGGGCUGCUGUGUCUACUGGCAAAAGAAUCUGCCUGUUGAGGAAAGAGAGAACCCUCCUACUCUUUCAACCAAGUAGUCACCAAGAUACAAAAAAGAUGGUACAAACCAGCACUUGGGAAGCUGAGGCAAGAGGAUUGCUGUGAGUUCAAGCCCAGCCUAAGCUAUAAAGUGAGUUCAACACCAGCCUGGACUGCCUAGCCAGACCCUGUCUCCAAAAAAAUAUAUAAAUUUUUAAUAAUAGUG
This 366-nucleotide long non-coding RNA is filed under the name Fukomys damarensis (Damara mole-rat). Its description in RNAcentral is "lncRNA (ENSFDAG00000031131.1)". The record is from RNAcentral. Lineage: Eukaryota; Metazoa; Chordata; Mammalia; Rodentia; Bathyergidae.